GAUGAACGCUAGCGGCAGGCUUAACACAUGCAAGUCGAGGGGCAACACGGGUAGCAAUACCUGGUGGCGACCGGCGCAAGGGUGCGUAACGCGUGAGCAACAUGCCCUAUACAGGGGGAUAAUCCAGGGAAACUUGGUCUAAUAUCCCAUAGUAUUUAGAGGUGGCAUCACCACUAAAUUAAAGCUUCGGUGGUAUAGGAUUGGCUCGCGUGACAUUAGCUGGAUGGUGGGGUAACGGCUCACCAUGGCGAUGAUGUCUAGGGGUUCUGAGAGGAAGACCCCCCACACUGGGACUGAGACACGGCCCAGACUCCUACGGGAGGCAGCAGUGAGGAAUAUUGGACAAUGGAUGGAAAUCUGAUCCAGCCAUGCCGCGUGCAGGAAGACGGCCCUAUGGGUUGUAAACUGCUUUUGAUGGGAGCAAUAAGGUCUAUGCGUAGACUGAUGAGAGUACCAUACGAAUAAGCAUCGGA
This 473-nucleotide ribosomal RNA is filed under the name uncultured bacterium. Its description in RNAcentral is "bacterial SSU rRNA". It matches the Rfam family "Bacterial small subunit ribosomal RNA", at positions 28 to 497 of the family's 1533-position model. The record is from RNAcentral.